Molecule: long non-coding RNA, 4704 nt
Organism: Balaenoptera musculus (blue whale)
Lineage: Eukaryota; Metazoa; Chordata; Mammalia; Artiodactyla; Balaenopteridae
Exons: 4
Source: RefSeq, a predicted model, not a curated record
AGCAGCUCUUUGGAGUACGGCUGGGACAUUUUUAAAGCUGUUGACCGAUGGGGAGCUGCUCUUCAGAGAGGAGAGGUGAUUAGGACACAUGUGCACGGAGGGAAGACGAAGUGAGGACACAGGGAGAAGGCGGCCGUCUGCCAGCCCAGGAGAGAGGCCUCAGGAGGAGCCCACCCUGCCGACACCUUGAUCUUGGACUCCCAGCCUCCGGAACUCUGAGAAGUGAAUGACUGUUGUUUAAGCUGCCUGUGUGUGGUGCUUGUUACAGCAGCCCUGGCAAACUACCCACUGGCUUUGAUAGAGGUCCCAGAAGAUUCCAGGCCGGGGCAGGAGCGUCCCCAGAGAAUAGUCUUCUUGCACUUGCGCUGUCAUCUCUGCACCUGCCCCCUUAAAGCCGGCCGUCUGAGACUGUGCUCAGGACCGUGUUCAGCAAAGCACGUAUUGAAUGACCACUAUUAACCCAUGGAGAACCUGCUUCAAAACUAAGUACAUGGGCAAAAAAGAGACUAGGAGUGAUGAUCCCCUUUGGGGAAAAACUGUCUUACAAAGAAGGAUUCAAAAGAUAAUCCUUUGACAGGGCAAUUGUUUUAAAGUGAUUUAUCUCUCCCAUCAAAACACCUGGGCUCUGGCUCCCACCGACAGUCUGAAGGCUUCCGUGUCUGAUGUGCUCCCAGUUCUGUCACAUGUCCCCGCUUGCCCACAUCAGAGAGACUCUCUCAGGGCACUUAGAUUUGGGAGUCCGCCAUCUAGAGCUCAGAGUUGAAUGGAACGCUCCCGCGUGGUCUGACUUUCGUGAAAGAGCAUCUCUUUUUGUUCGUGGUCCUUUGCCAGCUACUGCACUCUUUAUUUCAGCAACCACAGCUCACUGGCAGCUCUGUGGGCAACUAAAACCACUAGACCUCUCUCCUCACUUGAACUGCAAAGUCUCAGACCUCCCUGAAGUGCAUUUGAUCAGAGAGUAUUUUAAUGACUAUGUUGUUUCAAAGAGAUGCAUAAAUACUUUGCAUCCUGGAACAUGGCUGCGUCAGAUGAGUUUUGAGUAACCACAGCCCCCGUGUCGUCUGUUUGAACUGGACUCACCACUGACACUGAAAGGUCCUGCCUGCCCUUCUAGCCCUCUGGCCCGUCCCCUUCGCCGCAAAAGCCCAAAAUACUCCAACCCAAGUUUUUCAAGAAUUCAUUUGGUGGUAAAACCUGAUCCAGAGCUAUUUAUAGGCUAUAUUCAUCCCACUUCCUAUGAAUUCAGGCAUUUUUCUCUGCAGAAAUGUUUUAUUUGAUUAAUGGUUUCUUCUCUAGUGUUCACUGAGGGUUUGCCACCAAAUAUUCAGCAUAUUCAUUGUAUUAACCUUUUAAAUAAAAACAAAAACAAAAAACAAACCUUAAAUCAAAAACACAUCUGACCCUGAGGGUAGCAGAUGAGGGCUUAAGGACUUGUCUGAGCCCCAGCAUAAGUGUAAUUUUAAAAAAUUCACAGAUUGUUUUCUUGCUUUGUGACACGGUAUUGACUUUUGGUGCUGUAAAUAAAGCCACCUUUGGUUCUAGAAGUUCUGUAUUAACAUUGCACAUUGGCCAAUCCAGAUUAUAUCUGACAAAUCUCUCCAACGGCCUAGAGAUGGAGGCCACCAAGACUGCCCCCAUCAUUUCCAGAUUUAAGGGAAAUAUUCACUAUCACUCGGUGGCCAUCUUGGGAGCCUUGGGACAUUUUUGGCACUUGCUCCUACUCAAAGUAUUUAGAUUCUUAAGAACACAGGAAAUUAAAUUGGAAGGCUUUCCUCCUACACAGUUAUCAUAUUAGAACCUUCUGGGAUAAAAUUUUAUCAGUUUAAUACAGCUUCAUGAUACGAAAUGGAGCACAAAUGUUAUCAAAGCAUUUUAUUCAAAAGCAUAGUCUCUGUAAGUUGUCUUUUUAAAAAGUGUGAAUGGUGAGUUAAAUUAUUGCAUGACUUUUCUCCCCAAAUUAAAAUUUUUAGAAGAAAUUUCCUCUCACAUCUGUGUGGACUCCAGUGGGGCAUUUUUAAAGUAAUUCCUUUGCCCACUUAGAAUAUCCAACUGAGUCAGGAAUAUUCCACUGUAAGGGUAUUUCACUUGUUUUAUUUUGCAAGAAAACAUGAAGAGAAGCCAAUCUAUUCCUUUUGUGGCCCUGAAUGCCACUGAUUUCUCAGCCAUGCAAUAGUGAUAGUACCAUCCAGAACUUCAGGAGUGAUUGUGUGAGUUCAAGGUAAUUUUUUUAAGUGCCAAAGCACAGAAGAGAACAAGGAGAGAAUGGUGGGUGUAUGGGUAUCUUUGUGUAUUUAUAGUCGUCAUUCCCAUCAGGAAGAAUGGCAAGGUGUCCUCAGUUCAUCAGGUAGUCAAAGUGUAGAGAUAGAGAACUAAAGUCUCAUUCAACCAGCAGAAGAGGAAAGGUGGGUGGUGUGAGCUCAUCUGAGAGAUGCUCUGGGCAGAGAACACAGGAAGCUUGGGUGUGGAACGUGACAGUUAAAAUCAUAAGGGUGGGGGGCUGAGCAAUUGUUUUAAUUCAGUGAAGCUUGUCAGAUGCUGGUGUUUUGCUACUGAGUACCUUUCAGCAGCUACUGCCCAGGAUGUAGUUUGUUUGAGCAAAGGGAAAGCCUUCACCACAGGCAAAAUGAGAAAUGAGCUUAUACUUAUGUUUCAGUGCCCUUGAUCUUUCCCACUGUGUAAGCAAGUAAAUAUGGCCCCUCCUUUAAUUGACCCCCUUCUACACUCUUGGGACAGGAGUCAAGGCAUCUGUGGUGUACAUAGUGUGUCCCCUAAAAGAAGGCCUGAACAUGCUUUCCCAGUGGGAUUCUGACAGCACCUCGGGAGGCCUUCUUGGAGGGGCUACAAAAGUACCAAGUGUCCCCUCCUCCUCGGGACACAUGUCAGGCCUACAAGCUUUACUUUAGGUUCUGUGAGCGUCCCGUACCUAAGGAAGGAAAAAGGCACAUUUCCUCCUCCUUAUUCCUCCUUUUUGACUACAUCCUCCUCAGGGAAACUGAACUACCUGGGGAAAGAGAAGGUCUUCUUUUGAGCAGAUCACUUCGCAAUAUGGGUCAAAGCGGGGGGGCGGCUCUCAAGCCUGGUCAUGCAUUAUACUCACCUUAAAUUCACUGGGAAGCUUUUCAAGUACACUGACACAUCCCCUCCCCGCUCCCCCAGGGCAAAACAACAGAGUCAGGGUCUUGGGGUGGGGGUGAGGAUUCCGUUUUUCAAGUUCUCAGUGACCUGGGACGUGAAGAUGUAAGCCAGCCUGCACGCCUCUGUACACCGAGAUUAAACAAACACCUACCCAGCCCCUGAUUCUGCCUGCCAGGAACCCUCACGGGAUUCCUUACACUUUCUCUCCACGUUGGGUCACGUGUGUGAUUGUGAAAUAAAGCGUGAACAGGUGGGUGUUUGUAGAAGAUGCACCGUGGCGAAUCAGGUGACCAGCUGUGCAGGCAUUAGAUGAUAAUAGUUCACCUUUGCGAAGACAGCUCUUGUGAAUUGAGAAUUUUAGACUGUUUUAGAAAGGACCUUUUUUUAAAAAAAAAAAAAAAAAGAUCACACAGGAAAAGAAGUUAAAAUUUAGGGAAAGCAAAAUAUUCCACCCCUUUCCCCAGGCACCCAACAUCUAGGCAACACAAACAAAGUGAAAUUGUAAUGGUGCUUGCUGAGCCUGUUUGAAAACAAAUCCUGUUGGGCCCCCAUAAAGGGAUAAUCAGGUGUCCAGCCCAGCAACUCCUCAGUUCUCCAAUCUGAAAACACUCAAAGGAUGGAGGUAGAACUUGUACACAAUUUUUUAAAGGAUGUAUCUAAUGGAAUCACCUCUCAUCCCACCCCCACCAACUGGUACUCAUUUUUAUAUUGAUGACAGUAGGAAAUGUUAAACACCAGUGAAAAGCUUCAUGUUACUGGGCCGGGUGUAUUAAAAUAAAAUCAAAAAUUGAAAUAUUAGGUAUAUACACAACAGCAUAAGUGAAAUGUGAUGUGAUAGAGCAUUUUCCAUUCAAAGCUUACAGUAGAAAAAUUUAAUAAACAAAACCUCGUGUCUCUCUUGCUCCAGUGGCUCAGUUGAGCCUCCUGACUCAUUUAUUUUCCAUCACAUCUUCAUAUAAAUAGUCUCACACAGACCUUACACAAUUUAGAAAAGAUUGCUGAAUCACAAAAAUAGCCCCCAAAUAUGGCACUUUUACUUCCUAGAGUAUGACUAAAAUGAAUACUUGAUCACUAAAACAAUAUUCAAAAUCAUUUGAAGCAAUAAAGAAAAUUCUGAUGUUUUGUAAGGCCCUAGAAGUUUCUGCAGAGAUCAGAAUCUUAUUGUUCUUCCAAACUACAUUGUCCAAAAAAGUCUGGAUACAGGAAAUUGUGGAAUUGAAAAGCUGAACCAUUAAAAAGUAUUCCUUCUUAUGGCAGAGCAGUUUCUAAAGCUCCUUUCCAGGGUGGUCUGGGCAAACCCCGGCCGCUGGGGGGAGGUCCAUGUCGCUUAACAGGGCUGCCCUGUCUGCUUGCAGGUGACACUUUCAAGAAAAGAGACCCCUUCUUCCCAGCUGGGUUUCUGAGCGGUCUCCACCAAAGGAAACAUUGAACAGUCUCAGAUUUCAGGGGGUGGGAGAUCACUGAAAUCUGGGAACGACACUGAAGCUUCUGACUUCACCUGCAAAAUCUAACAGGUUGGAUUAGUAAAUUUUUUUUUUUUUAAACAAAGAAGCUAAAGCAUAGAGAAAA